CCUACGGGGGGCUGCAGUCGGGAAUUUUGGGCAAUGGGGGAAACCCUGACCCAGCAACGCCGCGUGAAGGAUGAAGUAUUUCGGUAUGUAAACUUCGAAAGAAUAGGAAGAAUUAAUGACGGUACUAUUUAUAAGGUCCGGCUAACUACGUGCCAGCAGCCGCGGUAAUACGUAGGGACCAAGCGUUGUUCGGAUUUACUGGGCGUAACGGGCGCGUAGGCGGCUUUGUAAGUCACUUGUGAAAUCUCCGGGCUUAACUCGGAACGGCCAAGUGAUACUGCAAAGCUAGAGUGCAGAAGGGGCAAGCGGAAUUCUUGGUGUAGCGGUGAAAUGCGUAGAUAUCAAGAGGAACACCUGAGGUGAAGACGGGUUGCUGGGCUGACACUGACGCUGAGGCGCGAAAGCCAGGGGAGCAAACGGGAUUAGAUACCCCAGUAGUC
Molecule: ribosomal RNA, 440 nt
Filed under: uncultured bacterium
Lineage: Bacteria
Description: partial 16S ribosomal RNA
Rfam family: Bacterial small subunit ribosomal RNA
Source: RNAcentral